This 4097-nucleotide non-coding RNA is filed under the name Pan troglodytes (chimpanzee). Lineage: Eukaryota; Metazoa; Chordata; Mammalia; Primates; Hominidae. The record is from RNAcentral.
UUUGUAUUUUUGGUAGAGAUGGGGUUUCACCAUGUUGGCCAGGCUGGUCUCGAACACUUGACCUCAGGUGAUCUGCCCGCCUCGGCCUCGCAAAGUGCUGGGAUGACCAGUGCGAGCCACUGCGCCCCGCCAGGCUAGCGGGCCUGUGUGUGUGCUGUCAGGCGUCGAUGCUGGGAGGGUGAUGUGUCCCGACUGCAGGGAGAGGACCCGGGAAGCUCCGAGGUUGGUGACCUCUCCUGCCCCUCCAGUGUGUCUCUCCCCAUGGCUGAUGUGCAGCCCUCAGUGGAUUCUGUGAGUCUUUCUAGUGAAUGGUCAAACCUGAGGGUGGUCUUCGGAGCAGCUGCACGCUAACCCGACGCUGCUUGUUGUGAGCUAGGCCUGACCUGUAAGUGCUUCAUCUGCACUGAGCCCUCGUCCCAACUCAUGAAGCAGGCGCUGUGCUCCCAUUUGAUAGGGGAGGAGACUGAGGCACAGGGCGCUCACGCCUCUUGCCCACAGUCACCCGACUGGUGGGUGCUGGAGCUGGUCUGCUGCAGAGCCCUGGCUCUCACGUCCCAUGCCACCCUGUGCCCAGCUCCUGAGUGCUACCGUCAGCUGGGCCAGAUGGUGGGUGGCUGCUCAGGCUGUCUGGGCACAGCGGAAGGCUCCAGGGGGGCCGGGGGAGGGGCCGUGACGCGGUGGGCUUACCGGUGGCAGGGACUGCACGAUGUCACUGUGGUAGAUGUAGCCGGUGUGGGGCAGCACUGAGGUAGACGAGAAGCCCGACAGCGUCUUGCGCUGGGCCCCGAGCAGCAUGAUGUUGCAGGCGGGCAUCUUGGAGAGGUUCGUCAGGCCGCCGGCCACACCUGCGGUGGGAGGGAGGGAGGAAGGGGGGGCGGUCAGAAGAAAGCAGGGAGGUGGGGGUGCGUGAAUCUGCCUGGGGGCUCGACGUGUGCCGGGCACCUUUACAUGAAGUUCUGGUUGGAUUCCUCGAUGGCCCUGCCAGGCGGGCGACCUGGCCCAUUCCGUGAGGGGCAGAUGCAAAGGAGGCUCAGAGAGGGAGGGCCUGGGGGUGCAGGGAGGAGGCCCCCAACAGGAAGCUGACCACCACGUUUGUGCUAAGCCACACUAACGCCGUUCCAGGGAUGUCUGUGUUUUGGAACCAUUUUCACCAAACCAGGAGCUCCCUGACAACAGGGCCUAGGUGUGGUCAUCUCUGGGUUUCCGGCACAGGGGAGGGAGAAGGAGCUGUGGGGGAGUGUUUUUCCCACAGACGAGGCUUUACUGUGUGCCAGGCUGGCUGACCUCUGUGAUGUCCAGGCAGACGGGGUGCUGAGGUCCAGGUGCCAAAGCCCCCAUUCUACAGAAAAGGAUGUAGCCUUCCCAAGGUCACAGUGUCAGCAGACCCCCGCUCCAUGGGACCCAGCCCGGGGACUCACCCAUGAUCUUGGCGGCCGUGGAUGCCCCGAUAAUGAUGGACAGGUUGGGUGCGAUGAAGGACAUCCGGGACUCCACGUACUCGUAGAUGCGGUGCUUGGAGGCGUUCAGCUCCAGCGCCAUGUCACAGGCCUCCUCCAGCCGCUCCAGCUCCUCCUCCGACAGCUGCUGCCUGCAGGGGCGGAUGGGCCCAGCCUCCUGGGUCUCCCGCCUGCCUGGUGUGCCCAGCCCCAACCCUCUCAGUUCUGUGUGUGCAUGUGUGUAUGUGUGUGUGCGUGUGUACACCUGUGUGUGUAGCUCCAGCCUAAUCCCCAGUCCCAUUAGGGCCCGGCGCCUCCCUCGCAGCGGACAUACCCCUGGGUGGUGGAGGCGGUGACGCUGACGACCAUGAUGGUGGCAUUGGUGAGGAUCUGCUGCAGGUUCUCAUUGUUCUUGCACUUGUCCAGGCUGUUGCCCAGCUCCUGGGGGCGAGCAGAGAAGAUAGGGGAGGCUCGGGAACUCAGGAAGGCUCGAGAACCUCUCUUGCUCAGCACCUCCUCAGGUCUCUUCUUGGGGACACUGGGACAGUCAGGGUCUCUGCACUGGGGGCCUCUCCUGCCUCCACCGCCUGAAGCAUCCACACCAUUCCUGCCUCCACCGCCUCAAGCAUCCACACCAUCUGCCCUGCUUUCGCUGACCUGGAAAUGGAGCCCGGGCAGAGUGGCGUCUGGAAAGACCAUGGCCUCACAAGCCCCUGGCCCGCAUCAAGUCGGAGUGCAAAUCCGCGGCCUCGCUUCCCUGCAGGGGCUUCCCCACCGCCAUCCUAAUCCUUUCCUGGACACGCGUGGGGACCUCCUCCUCUCCCAGCCCUCACGCACACCUGCCCCUCUUUUCCGAAACCCUUCCUUGGCUUUCUCCUAAGACCCAAAGGCUGGACGUGAUCCGACCUCUUCCCCGUCCCCUCCUUCCCCGCCUCACUUCCUCCCUGCUUGUUCCCUCUCCAGCUCUCCGCACUUAGACGUCUCUCUCCCCCAAAUCUCCGUGUGCCUGCCCUGUGUCAACCCCAAUGCCACCGGCUCCGACCACAGCGGGAGCAGCGUGGGUCAGGCCAGCGGGGGUAGGAGGGGAGCCCUGAGAAAGUCCUGUCCAGGCUCCGUCCCCCCCACGCUGGGCAGAGCAGACCACUGAGCCCUCAUCCACGCCUCUCCAUCGUCUCCAGACCCUGAGGCCUCUGGGAGGGGGUCCGAGAGUGAGCCCCGCCUGCCCCUUCACACCAGCAGAAGCACCCCACCUUCUCUGCGCUCACCUUGACCGUGCGGAUGUAAUCCAGUGCAUUGGGGACCAAGGACUCCAGUUCAGGGAAUCUCUUUGAGUACUUAUCCCGGAUGAACUUAUGGAUGAUGUCUAGGUAACUGAAGCCCUGGCUUGUAGCCUGGCACACGGGCACCAGCAUAAAGGCUUUCUCAGCCGCCCUUACCGCUAGGUGUGACCAGGGGAAUUAGUUCUGGUCUGUAAAACGUGAGCUGCAGUGACAUGUUCUUAAAGAAAAGAAGCGCCUUGCUGGUGGGAAUGCGGAGGUGAUGGCUGGAGGUGGGGCAGUCACCUCGCACCGUGAGGCAGGUGGCCGACCAACAGGAUGGAAAGAGCCGGGGCCCUACAGGCAGCCAAGCGGCCACACCAUCCCCAAGUGCUCCUCAGACUCAUACGCGAGAGAACGCACUUCCUUCUUAUUUCAGCCACUCUGUGACAGCAGGUUGUUGGCAUCCACGAUGACGCGGUAUUCAGGUGCUGCCUCCACUGGUCCCAUCACUGUGAGGACACGGAGGCAUGGGUCACUUGUGCACCUCCAGUAAACAGGGACUGCCACAGCUUGUGAGAUGUUUCACCUCUGCCUCCUCAACCAGACACUGGGUGUGACGGGGUCUGACUCCAUCCCUGAGCCUGGCCUGACAUCAGGAAAUGUCACUUUCUGUGUCCCAUAACCCUCUGGAGGGAGAAAUUCCUCGGCCUGGCAUCUGGAUCUCUCUGGAUAUCUGAGGCCCCGGGCCUGCCGCUGUCUUUCCCUGGGCCCCCUUCUCCCUUUCUUUGCCUGGCACAUGCAUUCAUGCUCUAUAGUCCAAUUCAGCUAUCGAUUCUUCCCUGACAUCUGGGGCAGGGUCAGCCAGUCCCUCCUGUGGCUCCGGUGUCCCCAGCUUGGUACCACCACUGAUAGCUGUCUGGAACCUGGCCUGCCUCUUCCACUAGACCUUGAGUACUAUGAGAGCAAAGACCUGGGCGAUUCAACUGGGUACCCAGGUAAACGUUAAAGAAAGCAAGCAGUGAGUCUCCCGAAACUCUGCCCUCUCACUACACUUCUUUCCCCAGAAACCUCCCAUGGCUUCCUGUCAUCAACAAAUUCCAUUCAAGAAGAAUGGGAAGGCUGGGCGUAGUGGCUCAUGCCUGUAAUCCCAGCACUUUGGGAGGCCGAGGUGGGCGGAUUACUUGAAGUCAGGAGUUCGAGACUAGCCUGGUCAACAUGGUAAAACCCUAUCUCUACUAAAAAAUACAAAAUAGCCAGGCAUGGUGUUGCAUACCUGUAAUCCCAGCUAUACAUAAGGCUGAGGGAGGAGAAUCGCUUGAACCCGGGAGGUGGAGGUUGCAAUGAGCCAAGAUCACAUCACUGCACUCCAGCCUGGGUGACAGAGGGAGACUCCAUCUCAAGG